GACCCUUAGUCAACGGACUACACAUAAUGGCUGAAGACAGCCAGAACGUGAAAUGGGAGGAUCAUCCGGAUGACCAAAAUAAAGUUGUGGAGAAUAUGAAGGAGGAAACAGAGACACAUGAGACCAACAAGAACAGGACAGGAGGCAAGGCUAAACGUAAGUCCAGUGGCCGUGCCAAGAAGACUUCCGUGGAGGAGGACAGCAGCAUUGGUGCAG
Molecule: long non-coding RNA, 216 nt
Organism: Salvelinus namaycush (lake trout)
Lineage: Eukaryota; Metazoa; Chordata; Actinopteri; Salmoniformes; Salmonidae
Exons: 3
Source: RefSeq, a predicted model, not a curated record